RNAcentral lists this ribosomal RNA (679 nucleotides) under uncultured organism. RNAcentral's name for it is "SSU rRNA". It matches the Rfam family "Bacterial small subunit ribosomal RNA", at positions 124 to 802 of the family's 1533-position model. The record is from RNAcentral.
ACCUGCCGAUAACUCGGGGAUAGCCUUUCGAAAGAAAGAUUAAUACCCGAUGGCAUAAUAGAACCGCAUGGUUUGAUUAUUAAAGAAUUUCGGUUAUCGAUGGGGAUGCGUCCCAUUAGGCAGUUGGUGGGGUAACGGCCCACCAAACCUUCGAUGGAUAGGGGUUCUGAGAGGAAGGUCCCCCCCAUUGGAACUGAGACACGGUCCAAACUCCUACGGGAGGCAGCAGUGAGGAAUAUUGGUCAAUGGGCGCAGGCCUGAACCAGCCAAGUAGCGUGAAGGAUGACUGCCCUAUGGGUUGUAAACUUCUUUUAUAUGGGAAUAAAGUGGUCCACGUGUGGAUUUUUGUAUGUACCAUAUGAAUAAGGAUCGGCUAACUCCGUGCCAGCAGCCGCGGUAAUACGGAGGAUCCGAGCGUUAUCCGGAUUUAUUGGGUUUAAAGGGAGCGUAGGUGGACAGUUAAGUCAGUUGUGAAAGUUUGCGGCUCAACCGUAAAAUUGCAGUUGAUACUGGCUGUCUUGAGUACAGUAGAGGUGGGCGGAAUUCGUGGUGUAGCGGUGAAAUGCUUAGAUAUCACGAAGAACUCCGAUUGCGAAGGCAGCUCACUGGACUGCAACUGACACUGAUGCUCGAAAGUGUGGGUAUCAAACAGGAUUAGAUACCCUGGUAGUCCACACAG